GGCGCGGCUCGGCGGCGGCGGUGCCGCGGCCCAUCAGACGGCCCAGGAGGCCCGGAGAUUUCUUCUCAGGCUCCGGUCCCGCCUGCGGCGC
This 91-nucleotide transfer RNA is filed under the name Leisingera aquaemixtae. RNAcentral's name for it is "tRNA-Ser". Lineage: Bacteria; Pseudomonadati; Pseudomonadota; Alphaproteobacteria; Rhodobacterales; Roseobacteraceae. The record is from RNAcentral.